RNAcentral lists this long non-coding RNA (609 nucleotides) under Trifolium pratense (red clover). RNAcentral's name for it is "long non-coding RNA (TPRA_LNC013431)". The record is from RNAcentral. Lineage: Eukaryota; Viridiplantae; Streptophyta; Magnoliopsida; Fabales; Fabaceae.
ACAGCUCCAUCCCUCAGUUUGUACCACCAUCUCUGCAUUAUUAUUGAUCGAACAAAUAUUUUAACAAACAUAACUUAAUUAAACAAAUUUCAUUAUUUACAUUUAGUAAAAACAUCAUUAUUUACAUAUUAAUUAUUUUUAUGUACUAUUAUGCAAUUAUAAUUAUGAUUGUAUGUACCAAUUUUGCAUAUAUAUAUAAGAUAAGAUUAGAGGGAGUAUAAGACUUACUAGAAGCAAGGAGAAUAACCAAAAUGAAGAAAAACUCAAAGUGUGCCUUGUUCAUCGUUACCACUUGCUACAAUCUUCACCUAGUUAGAGAGUUAUUGCUUUGCUUGCGAAUAAACUAAUUAAACUAAUAACUCACAUGGAGUUAUCAAUUUGUAGAUGUGGAGGAUGUAAAAAACUUGUUUGUUUAACUUGUGAAAACUUCGCGUUUAACUUUCUUUUGGAGUUAAUGUUCUUUGAUUAUCGCAUUAUUAACAAGAAAUGUAGUAGUAGUAUCUUGUUGAAAAUAUACUAUAAAAAAGAGCCUCUUUAUUUAUCUACUCUAUUAAUAAAUUGACUAGCAUCGCUAUAGAGAUUGAGGAUGUUAAAAAUGUAAUCCUUCCG